RNAcentral lists this ribosomal RNA (484 nucleotides) under uncultured bacterium. Its description in RNAcentral is "partial 16S ribosomal RNA". It matches the Rfam family "Bacterial small subunit ribosomal RNA", at positions 30 to 507 of the family's 1533-position model. The record is from RNAcentral.
AUUGAACGCUGGCGGCAGGCCUAACACAUGCAAGUCGAGCGGAUGACGGGAGCUUGCUCCUGGAUUCAGCGGCGGACGGGUGAGUAAUGCCUAGGAAUCUGCCUGGUAGUGGGUGAUAACGUCCGGAAACGGGCGCUAAUACCGCAUACGUCCUGAGGUGUAUAGUGGGGGAUCUUCGGACCUCACGCUAUCAUAUGAGCCUAGGUGGGAUUAGCUAGUUGGUGGGGUAAAGGCCUACCAAGGCGACGAUCCGUAACUGGUCUGAGAGGAUGAUCAGUCACACUGGAACUGAGACACGGUCCAGACUCCUACGGGAGGCAGCAGUGGGGAAUAUUGGACAAUGGGCGAAAGCCUGAUCCAGCCAUGCCGCGUGUGUGAAGAAGGUCUUCGGAUUGUAAAGCACUUUAAGUUGGGAGGAAGGGCAGUAAGUUAAUACCUUGCUGUUUUGACGUUACCAACAGAAUAAGCACCGGCUAACUUCGUG